CUCAUCACCCUGUGACUUACCUAAACGUUGCUUCGGCGGGAAUAGACGGCCCUGUAAAACGGGCCGCCCCCGCCAGAGGACCCUUAACUCUGUUUCUUAUAAUGUUUCUUCUGAGUAAAACAAGCAAAUAAAUUAAAACUUUCAACAACGGAUCUCUUGGCUCUGGCAUCGAUGAAGAACGCAGCGAAAUGCGAUAAGUAAUGUGAAUUGCAGAAUUCAGUGAAUCAUCGAAUCUUUGAACGCACAUUGCGCCCGCCAGUAUUCUGGCGGGCAUGCCUGUUCGAGCGUCAUUACAACCCUCAGGCCCCCGGGCCUGGCGUUGGGGAUCGGCGGAGCGCCCCUCGUGGGCGCACGCCGUCCCCCAAAUACAGUGGCGGUCCCGCCGCAGCUUCCAUCGCGUAGUAGCUAACACCUCGCGACUGGAGAGCGGCGCGGCCACGCCGUAAAACACCCCAACUCUUCUGAAGUUGACCUCGAAUCAGGUAGGAAUACCCGCUGAACUUAAGCAUAUCAAUAAGCGGAGGGAAAAGAAAAUUUUAUCAUUACCUGUAUUA
This 554-nucleotide ribosomal RNA is filed under the name Fusarium solani. Its description in RNAcentral is "eukaryotic LSU rRNA". The stretch from base 137 to 290 matches the Rfam family "5.8S ribosomal RNA". The record is from RNAcentral. Lineage: Eukaryota; Fungi; Ascomycota; Sordariomycetes; Hypocreales; Nectriaceae.